RNAcentral lists this unclassified non-coding RNA (285 nucleotides) under Hevea brasiliensis (rubber tree). Lineage: Eukaryota; Viridiplantae; Streptophyta; Magnoliopsida; Malpighiales; Euphorbiaceae. The record is from RNAcentral.
AAAAAUACAAGAAAAAUAAAAGAGUUUUAACUCCUAGUUCCUACUAUUAAACAACCAUUAAUAUAAUUAAAGCCUGCAUGAUUAAUCAGUACAGGAUAUAAAAGUCCUAAUUAGAUUGCAAUAAGCUAAUUCAAGUUAAUGAAUCUUAAUCUUGCCACUAAGCUGUGAUAGUGUAUAAGAAAUUUAAAAAAAUAAAUGCACCUCGUAUAAAAUGACACCGAAAGAGUAUGUAUCCACACUUCUAUCAAAUAUUUCAUCUUUAUAAACCUCAGGUGCCACAUAAAU